CCCAAUACCCCGCCAUGACGACUUGAAAUAUAGUCGGCAUUGGCAAUUUUUGACAGUCUCUACGGAGACUG
This 71-nucleotide small nuclear RNA is filed under the name Cervus elaphus hippelaphus. The record is from RNAcentral. Lineage: Eukaryota; Metazoa; Chordata; Mammalia; Artiodactyla; Cervidae.